UACGAAGGGGGCUAGCGUUGUUCGGAUUUACUGGGCGUAAAGCGCACGUAGGCGGAUUGUUAAGUCAGGGGUGAAAUCCUGGAGCUCAACUCCAGAACUGCCUUCGAUACUGGAAAGCUCGAGUCCGGGAGAGGUGAGUGGAACUGCGAGUGUAGAGGUGAAAUUCGUAGAUAUUCGCAAGAACACCAGUGGCGAAGGCGGCUCACUGGCCCGGUACUGACGCUGAGGUGCGAAAGCGUGGGGAGCAAACAGG
This 253-nucleotide ribosomal RNA is filed under the name uncultured bacterium. RNAcentral's name for it is "partial 16S ribosomal RNA". It matches the Rfam family "Bacterial small subunit ribosomal RNA", at positions 524 to 776 of the family's 1533-position model. The record is from RNAcentral.